AUUUUAUUUCAUAAAAAUCCAAUCAUCCAAAACAAACUUGACUUUGUAAAGCCUUUACAAAGUCAUUAUAAAUCCAAAUCACCUAAAACUAAUGCUUAUCAAAAUCUUAUCAAGUUUGUUCUUAGAUUCUAUCCUCUGAUCUCCAAAAAAACCUCAGAGUCAUUGUCAAGGCUUGGUUUUGUGCCUCAAGGUCUGAUUUUGAUCCUUGUUGUUCAUAACCAGCCUUCUCCAGGUAUCAAUAUUUAGUUUUUCUAGAUAAUUUGCUAGAAUUUACUCUUAACUUCUUCCUAAAGAUGCUUAUAUCAUUUAUUUUUCCAAUCUAUUUUUUUUUGCCUUAUUUAUGGCCCUACAAAAUAAAUAGAAGUCACUUUUCUAAAAAAACAACAUUACUAUUUAAAGUUUUUCUACCUUCCUAUC
RNAcentral lists this long non-coding RNA (417 nucleotides) under Physcomitrium patens. RNAcentral describes it as "long non-coding RNA (PPAT_LNC011050)". The record is from RNAcentral. Lineage: Eukaryota; Viridiplantae; Streptophyta; Bryopsida; Funariales; Funariaceae.